Molecule: long non-coding RNA, 1092 nt
Filed under: Equus caballus (horse)
Lineage: Eukaryota; Metazoa; Chordata; Mammalia; Perissodactyla; Equidae
Description: lncRNA (ENSECAG00000055221.1)
Source: RNAcentral
GUCUGGGGCUUUGCAGCUAUUGUGUCACACCAAUCCUGUGUACACUGUACACCUGAGAAGGACACUGACAAACCGAUGUGCUAUGCCUCUGCUUUUAUGGAGGGAUUUUCAAGAAACAUGAAAAUGGCUUGGGCCCCUUUUGACCUGAGAGCCUUGGUCAACAUCAUGAACGAGCUUCUCUGGUGACUGCUCACAACUCGUUUGGCACUUACUCCUGUUAUGCCACCAUGAAAAUCUAUUCUAUAUUGGUGUGUCCCGUGCCUACAGAAUUCAUGUUUUAGAGAGCUGAAGCUGUCAAACAAGUAAUCCAUAGAUGAAAAUUUCACAUUCUGCAUCUGAUGCUUUCAAUAUCUGAAUUGUUUCAGGAGUACAGCUGUAAAAGAGAGCAGAGAAAUGGAACAGUAGCUCUGAGGAAUGUGGAUCAAGACAAGUUAUUUUUUAAUGGGAAAUGCCGUAGCAAUUGUUUAUGCCAAUGAGAAUAAUUCAUAAGAAAAAGGAAGAAGAAAAAAACAAGGAGGAAAUAAAAAGGAAACAAGUGUAAAGCAGCACCAAGAACCAACUUGAGGGAGAAAGAUGAGCAACUUCAGAUGUUAAAGUGUAAAACACCUCACUCAUCUCAGGACCUUGAAGUCUAAUUCACGAUGACAGCAGCAACAACAACACGUCAUUGCGUUAAAUUCCUGAGUUCAAGAGUAUAAUCAGUGGUCCUAAGGAGGUUUUUACGGUGUUACGACAGAGAAUGUGAGUGAAAGGAAAUCUGCCAGUGGAAGAUUUAAGGAACGGUUCUCUGAGCAGGAGACACUUAACAGAAAUUAACUUUCUUCGAUUUAAUGUCAUUUUUUAAUGAUUGACUCUGUUUGAGGUAGGAAGCCAGAGGAGAAUGUGACUUCCUGAUUUCACAAAACUUCUUCCCUUCCAGCCCCGCCUGAGAUCACAGUCAUGUCCAGUGGCACAAUCAACAGCAAGACCAGUGAGAUUCAAAGCAUAGGCAUCUCUCGUGUCCAUCAUUUUCACAAAUUUGAAUUCCUUACAGUUAGUUGUAGUCUCAAUCUCCAUAUAGCAUAGAAUUGUGGUUGAUGUUAAAUAAAUAUU